AGCAGCAUCAGCUAAUUAAGCUUUCGGGCCCAUACCCCGAACAUGUUGGUUAAAGUCCUUCUCCUGUUA
This 69-nucleotide transfer RNA is filed under the name Chaetodontoplus conspicillatus (spectacled angelfish). Its description in RNAcentral is "tRNA-Met". The record is from RNAcentral. Lineage: Eukaryota; Metazoa; Chordata; Actinopteri; Pomacanthidae.